UCCGACCGUCACUGAGAGAGAUGAGGUAGGAGAGCAGGAAGGAAGCAUGUGUUGUUGGUGUUUAAACGUCUGAAGUCCUUUCUUUGCAUCAGUUUU
This is a long non-coding RNA of Salarias fasciatus (jewelled blenny), 96 nucleotides long. RefSeq lists it as uncharacterized. The transcript is spliced from 3 exons. NCBI's taxonomy places the organism in Eukaryota, Metazoa, Chordata, Actinopteri, Blenniiformes, Blenniidae. The record is from RefSeq and is a predicted model, not a curated record.